This is a small nuclear RNA of Heterocephalus glaber (naked mole-rat), 140 nucleotides long. Its record names the gene U2. It matches the Rfam family "U2 spliceosomal RNA". Rfam says of the family: U2 is a small nuclear RNA (snRNA) component of the spliceosome (involved in pre-mRNA splicing). Complementary binding between U2 snRNA (in an area lying towards the 5' end but 3' to hairpin I) and the branchpoint sequence (BPS) of the intron results the bulging out of an unpaired adenosine, on the BPS, which initiates a nucleophilic attack at the intronic 5' splice site, thus starting the first of two transesterification reactions that mediate splicing. Lineage: Eukaryota; Metazoa; Chordata; Mammalia; Rodentia; Bathyergidae. The record is from Ensembl.
AUCAUUCCUCAGCCUUUUGGCUAAGAGUAAGUGUAGUAUCUGUUCUUACCAGUUUAAAAAAUUAUCGCCAUGGAUUUAGCUCAGUGGCGCCACAGUUUGAUCCCCGGUACCACAAAAAACAAAACAAAAAAUGAUCCAUU